Molecule: ribosomal RNA, 741 nt
Filed under: uncultured Syndiniales
Lineage: Eukaryota; Dinophyceae; Syndiniales
Description: SSU rRNA
Rfam family: Eukaryotic small subunit ribosomal RNA
Source: RNAcentral
GUUGUUGCGGUAAAAAGCUCGUAGUUGGAUUUCUGUUGAGGACGACCGGUCCAUACCAUGUAUGCGCAUCUGGCUCGGCCUCGGCAUCCUCUCGAAAGACGUUGCUGCGCUUGAUUGCGUGGCGCGGAGUUCGGGACUUUUACUUUGAGGAAAUUAGAGUGUUCACGGCAGGCUAUCGCCAGAAUACAUUAGCAUGGAAUAAUAUUAUAGGAUCUUGGUUCUAUUUUGUUGGUUUCUAGAAUUGAGAUAAUGAUUAAUAGGGACAAUUGGGGGCAUUCGUAUCAACACGUCAGAGGUGGAAUUCUUGGAUUGUGUUGCGACGAACUACUGCGAAAGCAUUUGCCAAGGAUGUUUUCAUUGAUCAAGAACGAAAGUAAGGGGAUCGAAGACGAUUAGAUACCGUCGUAGUCUUUACCAUAAACUAUGCCAACUAGAGAUGGGGCAUCGUUCACUUACGACUUGCUCCGCACCUUAUGAGAUAUCAAAGUCUUUGGGUUCCGGGGGGAGUAUGGUCGCAAGGCUGAAACUUAAAGGAAUUGACGGAAGGGCACCACCAGGAGUGGAGCCUGCGGCUUAAUUUGACUCAACACGGGGAAACUCACCAGGUCCAGACAUAAUAAGGAUUGACAGAUUGAUAGCUCUUUCUUGAUUUUAUGGGUGGUGGUGCAUGGCCGUUCUUAGUUCGUGGAGUGAUUUGUCUGCUUAAUUGCGUUAACGAACGAGACCUUAACCUGCUAAAUA